This 208-nucleotide ribosomal RNA is filed under the name uncultured bacterium. RNAcentral's name for it is "partial 16S ribosomal RNA". It matches the Rfam family "Bacterial small subunit ribosomal RNA", at positions 524 to 730 of the family's 1533-position model. The record is from RNAcentral.
AACGUAGGACACAAGCGUUAUCCGGAGUUACUGGGCGUAAAGGGCGUGUAGGCGGAUCGGUAAGUCUACUCUGAAAGCUCCUGGCUAAACUGGGAGAGGCGAGUGGAGACUGUCGGUCUAGAGUGAGGAAGAGGAAAGUGGAAUUCCGCGUGUAGUGGUGAAAUGCGUAGAGAUGCGGAGGAACACCAGUGGCGAAAGCGGACUUUCU